Molecule: long non-coding RNA, 927 nt
Filed under: Musa acuminata (dwarf banana)
Lineage: Eukaryota; Viridiplantae; Streptophyta; Magnoliopsida; Zingiberales; Musaceae
Description: long non-coding RNA (MACU_LNC006133)
Source: RNAcentral
GUUGAUGGGUCCAUAACCGGAUGGAGAGAGAGCGUGCGAACAUUUGUCCUCUCAAGUCACCUUCACCGGAGAGGCAUGCAGUCCUUUUGGAGGGUGGGUUGGAGCUUUCGGUCAAGGGAUAGCGACUUGGCGAGGGAAAGAAAUAAUGGCGAUGCGGCUUUCGCGGAGAGGCAGCGGCAGCCAAGGUAGAUGCGAUGGUAUCUUCAGGAGGAAGCGUAUCAUCAUCCUCCCUUUUACUUUUGACUCCGUUUACUUUUUACGACUGUCGACCACUUGCUUCCAUUUCUUUAUAGACUACACCGCAGAUGCCAACACUCGCGUCAGAUGCCUCUUUAAGUUCCGCUCCACAACAACUGUUUCUCUGCAUCGACGACGAAAGGUCAACUUAUCCAAAUAAAUGCGAAUAUUACAGGAAAGUUGUGCAUCUCUCCUCCUACAAAAGCCACAUGAACUGAACAUGUUCAUCAACAAAAAGGAAGACGCUUUCCGACCUUCUUUUUUCCUUUCAAGGGUUUGAUUCGUUAGAUCAAUUGGGUGAUUUGAGAAAUCCCGGUUCAUCUAGUUCGGGUUACGCAUGCCAUUGGCUAUUUAGAUCCGUGUCUAACGAAGCCUGGAGACAGUAAAAGAUUAUGGUAUCUAUAUAGUGCCUCUCUCUUCCGUCCUCUUUCUCCCUCAUCUUUUUAUGUGAGAGAAAUUUCCACCAACCAAUAAUGGAAGACGGAGAAGAUGAAGCGCAGCGUCGUGGGAUGAUGAGUUGGAGCGCAUCAGAAGCGGCCUCAUCCGCAGGUGAAGAAGGUUUAUGACGAGAGGCAAGCACGAGGCUUUGCCGUGCUAAGAGUCCAUCAUUGUCCCACUAAUGGCAGCUCGAUCGAUCCUACACCACAGAAUUAAUCUCCGAAGACGAACCACUUUUCCUUGUGUGUCAGU